UACGAAGGGGGCUAGCGUUGUUCGGAAUUACUGGGCGUAAAGCGCAUGUAGGCGGAUCUAUAAGUCAGAGGUGAAAUCCCCGGGCUCAACCCUGGAAUUGCCUUUGAUACUGUAGAUCUGGAGUCUGUGAGAGGUGAGUGGAAUUCCGAGUGUAUAGGUGAAAUUCGUAGAUAUUCGGAGGAACACCAGUGGCGAAGGCGGCUCACUGGCCCGAGACUGACGCUGAGAUGCGAAAGCGUGGGGAGCAAACAGG
RNAcentral lists this ribosomal RNA (253 nucleotides) under uncultured bacterium. RNAcentral describes it as "partial 16S ribosomal RNA". It matches the Rfam family "Bacterial small subunit ribosomal RNA", at positions 524 to 776 of the family's 1533-position model. The record is from RNAcentral.